This 494-nucleotide ribosomal RNA is filed under the name uncultured bacterium. RNAcentral's name for it is "partial 16S ribosomal RNA". It matches the Rfam family "Bacterial small subunit ribosomal RNA", at positions 28 to 507 of the family's 1533-position model. The record is from RNAcentral.
GACGAACGCUGGCGGCGUGCUUAACACAUGCAAGUCGAACGGUGAAGCGCCUUCCUUUUUGGUGGGUGUGGAUGAGUGGCGAACGGGUGAGUAACACGUGAGUAACCUGCCCCCUUCUUCUGGAUAACCGCAUGAAAGUGUGGCUAAUACGGGAUAUUCUGGGUCUGUCGCAUGAUGGGUCUGGGAAAGAUAUUGUUUCGGUGGGGGAUGGGCUCGCGGCCUAUCAGCUUGUUGGUGGGGUGAUGGCCUACCAAGGCGGUGACGGGUAGCCGGCCUGAGAGGGUGGACGGUCACACUGGGACGGAGACACGGACCAGACUCCUACGGGAGGCAGCAGUGGGGAAUAUUGCACAAUGGGCGCAAGCCUGAUGCAGCGACGCCGCGUGAGGGAUGGAGGCCUUCGGGUUGUGAACCUCUUUCGCCAGUGAAGCAGGCCUGCCUCGUUUGUGGGUGGGUUGACGGUAGCUGGAUAAGAAGCGCCGGCUAACUACGUG